UUCGACGAGUCGAGUUGUUUGGGAAUGCAGCUCUAAAUGGGAGGUAAAUUCCUUCUAAAGCUAAAUACUGGCCAGAGACCGAUAGCGCACAAGUAGAGUGAUCGAAAGAUGAAAAGCACUUUGGAAAGAGAGUCAAACAGCACGUGAAAUUGUUGAAAGGGAAGCGCUUGCAGCCAGACUUGCCCGCGGUCGUUCUUCUUCCGCGGGCAGGCCAGCAUCAGUCUGGGCGGUCGGAUAAAGGCCUCGGGAAUGUAGCUCUCUUCGGGGAGUGUUAUAGCCCGGGGCGCCAUGCGGCCAGCCCGGACUGAGGUCCGCGCAUCUGCUAGGAUGCUGGCGUAAUGGCUGUAAGCGGCCCGUCUUGAAACACGGACCAAGGAGUCUAACAUCUAUGCGAGUGUUUGGGUGUCAAGCCCGGGCGCGCAAUGAAAGUGAACGGAGGUGGGAACCCCUCGGGGCGCACCAUCGACCGAUCCUGAUGUCUUCGGAUGGAUUUGAGUAAGAGCAUAGCUGUUGGGACCCGAAAGAUGGUGAACUAUGCCUGAAUAGGGUGAAGCCAGAGGAAACUCUGGUGGAGGCUCGCAGCGGUUCUGACGUGCAAAUCGAUCGUCAAAUUUGGGCAUAGGGGCGAAAGACUAAUCGAA
RNAcentral lists this ribosomal RNA (641 nucleotides) under Anteaglonium thailandicum. RNAcentral describes it as "eukaryotic LSU rRNA". It matches the Rfam family "Eukaryotic large subunit ribosomal RNA", at positions 256 to 939 of the family's 3401-position model. The record is from RNAcentral. Lineage: Eukaryota; Fungi; Ascomycota; Dothideomycetes; Pleosporales; Anteagloniaceae.